Molecule: long non-coding RNA, 1403 nt
Organism: Athene cunicularia (burrowing owl)
Lineage: Eukaryota; Metazoa; Chordata; Aves; Strigiformes; Strigidae
Exons: 2
Source: RefSeq, a predicted model, not a curated record
UAACAUUCAGCAUCACGAGUAGUUACUCCAGUUUAUUUUGCUCAGAUAAAAACAGAACUAUAAAACGUUUGGUACAUUUUAUUUAGCAACAUACAAGAAAGUAUAUAAACUGCCACGUAUUAAACUUGCCACAGAACAGCUGGAGAAUCACCCCACUCCCCUCCCCCUAAAAUUAUGUGUCCAAAGCGGUACUUUUCUGUGGAAAAUGUGUACCAGAGAGCUUGCAGUACACCAGUUUAUGUUGCUGCUUCUUGAUAAUUUGAGUGGUCUAAGAGAGUCACAAAGUGCUCCAAGUUUUAGUUUGUAGUAACUGCAACUUCCUAAACACAUUAUUGUGAUUUCCCCAACGUGUGUGUUCCACUUAAAUGCACAGCACCCAAAAUAGAUGGAUAUCACAUAUCUAUAUAGUCAGGAUUCAAGUCCAUUCAAGACAACUCUAUCAACGGGUCACAAAUUCGUAUGUAUGAUGGACAAGAUAAAAUACACAGAAUAAGCUAAACAUGCAGAGCAUCCCUUUCAAUGUUAGGAGUCCAUUCGGUGGGGUCCCCCCACUAUACUUAAGCCCAAUGGAGAAUAAUGUUAACAUCACUGACUAACCUGAAUCACAAUUUUAAUUAAUGAAUGCAAAUAUAGUUUCCUUCAUGCCAGCACAUCAACUCUCCUCUCAGUCACUACCAGCCUUAAAGUGUGUUUUUGUAAGCCUUUAAGGCAUGUAAAAUAAUAUAUGCUUAGUGUAAAAGUGCCACGAUUUACUUCUACCAGAAAAAUAUCUCUUCACCCUCAUUUGUUGUUCCCUUCCUUUUUACUCUCCCCCCAUAUCCGUCUGUCACUGGAGCAGACCUAAAUAAUCCUGUUACUGAAAGAAUUUUGGUCACUUCCAUGCUGCAUUCAUUUGCAGCCCCUUUUUCAUCCUGAGACUAAAAUCUUUAGGAAACAAGUGCAGGAAGAUGAAAAAAAAGCCAACAGAAUUUAGGGCUCUAAUGGCAAAUACAGAGAACUUCACCUUUAUAUCAAAGUGGCUAUAAAUUCACUCACCCAGAUCAUGUCUGGCUGAUGAUAAUUCCUUUCAGAGACUGAUCAGUUUCAGUUUUCUUCACUCAUUUUAUCCUUAUGGAUCAUAAGAUCUUUUGCAGUAAUAAUCCUUUCCAAAGGAUUCCAAAGAUAAGGCUGAAGGUGUAUUAAGGAAAAAAAAUCUAAUCAAUAACUUUUUACAAAAUAAUCCUCACAGCCCCUCAGUGAGAGUAAAUCAGUGACACAGGAAAAACUGCAGAUAGUUCCUGCCUUUUGACCUUAUAAUCAAUUAAUUAGACCAGGCUGCCUCCAAAGUGUUGUUUUUCUUAAUAAAACAGUCACUUAGAUGGCAGUAGACUUUUUUUCUAAAAACCCCAGGGUCUUCUCUAAGU